Molecule: long non-coding RNA, 18253 nt
Filed under: Citrus x clementina
Lineage: Eukaryota; Viridiplantae; Streptophyta; Magnoliopsida; Sapindales; Rutaceae
Description: Citrus clementina (C. clementina) long non-coding RNA (CCLE_LNC002970)
Source: RNAcentral
UAGGACUGCAUGAUAAUCUACCUGUGGCAAUUUCCUUGUUGGCUAAGCAUGGUUCAGAUGGGUUCUUGCUCAACCUUGUCGAGACUCUUCACGACACCCUUAAAGAAGAGCUUCAAGAAUGAGUUAAAAAGUUACUAAACUGGGAUUUCCAACAAUCUCUCUGUAAGUUUUAUGUCAUUCUCCAGCCUAACAAAAAAAAAAAACUGAGCAUAAAAGCCUAUUGCGUAUGCACUUCAUGCUCCCUCAUGCUUGCUUCUCAAAUCUCGUUCUUCUUCAGGUGCCAUUGUUGGAAAUUCAGAUGAUGAAAUAUGGGGGUUUGUGUAUGAUUAAAUGUAGUUACUUCUCCUAUGAGAAAAAUAGUUGAAAAAUGCAACAUAUGAGCAGUAUGUAAUCCUGUUGUUGAUGUAGAAUUGAAAAGCAAUUCUAAUAUAUGAUAUAUACUAGGAAAGAUUAUGGGAGUUGCAAUUGAUUGAGACGUCUGAUUAUUGUUAAUGUUUAAUUCUUCAGAAUGAAUACACUUUGUAAUGAACUCCAUCUAUUAUUUAUUAAUUGUUAGUGGGUGUUGGUUGAUUAACUUUAUGAAUGAGACAAGAAAAUUAUUUAAAAUAUGAUGAUUAUAUAUUUACAAUUUAAUAAGUGACGAAAAAUGAUAAAAUGGGAGUUGAGACAUUAUAAAUUAAUCACUUUAAUGAGGAAAGGUGAAAGAACAAAUAAAAACAUUGUGGUAAAAGGAAACUAUUCAUAAAGCGACCUUCAGACUGCACGCGCUUGUUGAACGCUUGUUGAACACGCACUAUUCAAAUGCAAACUAAGUUGCAAUCCAAGUUCCCAAGCCCUAUCACACAAUUGGUCGCAGGAGUAAUUAGUAAUGAUUUAUUUUUUGAAACUGGAAUUUCAUUAAUUGGAAAAACUACAUAUUUUUAUCCUUAUAUACAUAAGUGGAAAUCUCACUUGGAGGUUCCUCUAUCCAUACUUGCUCUAUAGGAUGAUAGAGAGCUAGUUUCGCAAGAUGAUGCGCCAGCGUCGCCUCAUUACAAGUUCGUGGAGCAAAGAGCACUUGUACAGUGCUAUGCGAGGAAGUCAGAGCUUCUUGUAUUUCGGAGAUUACCCACCCCACUUCGCACCUGCUUGCAAUUUUGUUUCCUAUGAGAUUGACUUCAUUGAGAGAAUCAGAUUCGAUUAUGGCCGGAGUCAACCCAAUGUCGCUCGUUAGCCUAAGUCCUUUCUACACAGUAAGGGCUUCCACAAAUUCUACAUGUUGAUGCGAGAUUCUGGUUAUGCUCGUUCUACGACCAGGAUAUCUGCUCGAUCAACCUCACCUCGAUCAGGAUCUCUCCUCGUAUGCUUUCUUCUCCAAGUAUCCCUGCGUUCACAGAAACGAGUCAGAGCACGCCGGUUGUUUUCCCGGCGUAAACCCUCCGACGCUCAAGUCAGAUGUGAAGGCUCUGGGAACGCUUGCCACAGAUCUUAUGGCUUGUCUAUAAUCUCAGUUCUUAGAGUUCUAUUUUCUUAGUUCAAAAAUCAAAAAUGCUAACCCUUUUACCUUCGUUGGCUACCUUUUUAUAGGCUUCCUCUGAAUUCGGAUCUUCCGCAGUCCACGCCCGUCGUUCUCCCCACUCUCGGGUGUGGACGCCCCAUUACCGCCAUUGUCGGCGAAUGGAGAUGGACCUCGUGCCUUAAUUCUCGGAUAGGAAUGCACGUCCUGCCAACUGUCGUUGACUGGGUCUCCUCGCCUCGAUGCCUAGCAGGAAUGACCUUAUGCCUCUAACAGGAGUUCGGCCUCACGAAUGGCAUAUUCGUGGACGAGCAGAAUACUCCUGCUCGUAUUCCCCUGCUACUUGGCUCUUGCAGGAUACCCUUGCUCGCAGGACCCUGCCACCAACCACCCGCUCAUCAUGUUUGAUCGCCUCGAUGUAUUUCCCUCAAACACCGGUCCCCCAGUUUCUGGUGUUGGGUAAUGUAAUGGACCAGCAGUAGAAACUCAACGGUUCUUGCUCGCGUGGGACUGGAAAAGGCUGCCAAGAGUCGUGUCGCAUUUAAUUGCAGACGAGGUGAUGUGGCAGAAAUCUGCCCCUCUAUUUGAAUUUCAAACCAAUGGUUACGAGGCCCUUGGGGUUUGGUACCGUUAAAUGCUGGCAACCUAAGAGUCCGUCCCCUUUAUGAAACCCACCUCCUUUCGUACAGAAAAUUCAUCAUCCACUCCGUCUCCGUCUCUGUCUCUCCGGCAAAGAAGUUCCGGCAUAAGGGCCUCCAUCUCUGUCUUUCACCGACUGAAACAUUACUUCAGGUACUUCUUCUAUCUCCUUGGUCUCGGAUAGUUGUAGAUAAUUUCUCUUCUCUUUUGUUCGGGUAGUAGUUGGUGGUGGCGUUGUGGUUAGCGCUUAGGGAAUGUCGAAAGGUAAAGAGAAGGUCGUUGAGGUUGACGACGAUGAGUUGGACUUCCUGCCUAGUCUACUCACUGAUCCUGCUUUUGACCCCGGGAUCCCCUUAAAGCCCAUCAGAUCUAGUGUUGGUACUAGCGCUAGGAGGAUGUCUCCCCAAACAACCUCCUCGAGCGGAAAUAACGAUGAAGAAGGGUCUUCUGGAUCGGAGAACACCCCGAGUGAGGGUCGAGGAGAUGAUUCUGGUGAGGUGUCCCCAUCAGGAGCGUCGCGACCAGAAGAGAGGAGUACAAUAGGAGGUAGAGCCCUAUCGCGGGAUUACGCUAUUGAUUAUAUGACGUGCACGACCACGUUUGAUGAGCUCGAUGACCUCCGGCUUAGGUAUAGUAUUCCUGGUGAAAUACCUCUUAAGGUCUCAGGAAAGAAGGAUGCUCCUAGCCGGCCUCCUAGGGGAUAUGUUACCCUGUAUUUGGAUAGCUUUAAGUAUGGGCUGAGGUGUCCCUUGCAACCUUACUUUGCCCGGAUACUUAACGAGCUGAAUCUAUCUCCUGGUCAGUUGAACCCAAACGGUUGGAGAAUGCUCUCUGGUCUGUUCAUAUUGUGGGACAGAUGUUGCCUUGUGGGACAGAUGUUACCAAAGCGAGCCCACAAUUGAUGAGGUGAAGCAUCUGUACCAGUUGAAGAGCAGCCCCAAAGAUGCCGGCUGGUACUACUUCCAAUCUAGUACCAAGACCAGGAAACCUAUAACCGACCUCCCUACUGGUGGUGGUGGGAAUUGGAAGAGAAAGUUAUUUUUUGCUGGGGGUCCUUGGGGUCAGGUUGCACAAAUGGACGGGAAGGAUUAUCGGGUCCCACCCCGUUUCACGGUCCCAAGUUGCCUGCUCGCUUUAGAUGUCCUGUAUCCAUAAUUGUUCUUGCUUUAUUGGCUUGUCUCUAACCAAGUGUCUGUUUGUGUUGUAGUUUUUUGGGGUGUUCAUUUCCCGCUCCAACCUGGCCAGCUCAAACAGGUUGAGGCUGUGCUAGUCAAUUCCUGCCCGAGCUGAGAGCUGUUAACUACUUACAACUUGCUCGAGUCUCGCUUGAUACUACCUGGCCAUAAGAUGGAGGACGCUGUGAUUGGGGCUCUGAACAGGAAACGUUCUCGACCUCAAACCACGAAGAGGGACCAGAACAAGGACGCCCCUUCUGCAAAGCGGGCCAACAUCGUGCAGCAAGUCUCUCCCUUGAAGACUUUACCUCCUGCUCCUGCCAAAAUUGGGGAGACUAGUGGAGCAGCCACGGAUCCUGCUUCCUCUUCGCCUCUUGUCGGGCCUCGAUCUCGCUUACCUGACAGCCGAGCAGAACACUUGGUCCCCUACCUUAAUAAGUUCUCUAAACUCGUGAGCAAGAAAGACCUGGAGGACUUUGACGGCUGCACCUUGGGUGAGCUAGUGGGGGCCAUGCAGUAUAGCGCCUUCCACCUCAGCUGCAUGACCACCUAUUACAAGGCUAAGGUUAGCCGCAACGACCGGAAGAUGAAGGAGGAUAUUCAAUCGGCGACGACCAGAGCCGACGUUGCCGAGAAGAAAGCAGGGGAGCUGAAUCUCGAGAAUCUGAAGCUGAUAGAGCAAGAAUCACUUGCUCAAGCAAAGGCCAUUACCCUCGAGGAGGAGCUUACCAAGGUCAAGGAGGAUCUGCAAAGGCAGAAGGCUAUGUAUGACGCCCAGCUCGAAUCUCUCCGCGACUCCAACCGAGCUCAGGUCGAGAACUUGGAGAGGGAGGCCGAGAACCAGUACGACCAGGGACUUCGGCAUUCCUAUCGUUGCAUCAUGGCUGUCCUCGGGAAGCAACACCCUGAUCUGAAGAUGGAUGACCUUGCAGCUGAUGUUGCUCAACAUAUGGACGAGGAGGCGGCCAAGGAUGAUGCUGAAGGGGUAGAGCCGAUCGUGAUUGAGGAGGAAAACUCUCCUCCUCGUGCAGUCCCUGCUGAUGUUGGCGAGGCGAGUACCCCUCCGGACGCAACUGGUGAUACCCCCCCUGCACCUGAGGAGGUCCAGCCAACAGAUGUUGCUCGGCUUACUGAUCCACCAUCUUCUUGAUAUAUUUCUUGUAUUGUAAUGAACAAUUUUUGUGACGAUUAUCUCUUCUGUUAAUUACUAACAAUUAAUAAAGAUGUUUUUGAUUACUUUCUCGUGUUGUAAUCAUCAGUUAUUUUCCGUUUGGGAAUCUGCUCGUCUUUGUCUGGUCAAGCAGGUUCUGGCUUGGCAUAUGGUUUUGCCACAUGCCUUAGAAAAUUCUUCGAUGCUUGAGAUUCUGCUCGCCUUCGCGCGGUCGAGCAGACCCUGGCACGCUUGGCUUCUGUCUCGCCAUAAACAGGCUUUGAGACUUGACGAGUCUUUGCAUGCCUUGGAAAAUUUUUCGAUGCUUGGGGAUUCUGCUCGCCUUCGCGUGGUCGAGCAGAUCCUGUCACGCUUGGCUUCUGUCUCGCCAUAAACAGGCUUUGAGACUUGACGAGCCUUUGCAUGCCUUGGAAAAUUUUUCGAUGCUUGGGGAUUCUGCUCGCCUUCGCGUGGUCGAGCAGAUCCUGGCACGCUUGGCUUCUGUCUUGCCAUAAACAGGCUUUGAGACUUGACGAGCCUUUGCAUGCCUUAGGAAUUUUUACAACGUUUGGGAGUCUGCUCGCCUUCGCUUGGUCGAGCAGAUCCUAGCAAGCUUGGCUUCUGGUCUCGCCAUAAACAGGCUUUGAGACUUUGAUGAGUCUUUGCAUGCCUUCAAUUCUUCAAUGAUUGGGAUUCUGCUCGCCUUCUCGUGGUCGUGCAGAUCCUGGCACGCUUGGCUUCUGUCUCGCCAUAAAACAGGCUUUGAGACUUUGAUGAGCUUUUGCAUGCCUUCAAUUCUUCAAUGAUUGGGAUUCUGCUCGCCUUCUCGUGGUCGAGCAGAUCCUGGCACGCUUGGCUUCUGUCUCGCCAUAAAACAGGCUUUGAGACUUUGAUGAGCCUUUGCAUGCCUUUGGUUCUUCAAGGAUUGGGAUUCUGCUCGCCUUCUCGUGGUCGAGCAGAUCCUGGCACGCUUGGCUUCUGUCUCGCCAUAAAACAGGCUUUGAGACUUUGAUGAGCUUUUGCAUGCCUUCAAUUCUUCAAUGAUUGGGAUUCUGCUCGCCUUCUCGUGGUCGAGCAGAUCCUGGCACGCUUGGCUUCUGUUUCGCCAUAAAACAGGUUUUGAGACUUUGAUGAGCCUUUGCAUGCCUUAGAAAAUUUUCACAGUUUCAAGCGAAUGAAAUUCCUCAUUGAUUCAUUUAUUACUGAGUUCGGCUUACAUGAGGUUGCUUUGAAAUAAGAAAUCAAAAAUAGAAAGCAACGGACACGAACAGAAAAAAAACUUUAAAACAUGAAUGAGUCUUACUAGAAAUAUUUCCUGAGGUGUGCCGCGCUCCAGGGGCGUUUCACCUCGUGGCCCUCCGUGCGAACCAACUUGUAGACUCUGGGUCCAACUAGCUGUCAUUCCCGGCUUCCACUCGGGUACCAAGGUAUGUUAUCUGCAUUGCUUCCCUUGCUGCCGAGGAGUAACAGCGUCGUGCGAUUCUCUGGUCUCCUCGUACCACUCCAACUACCCCAUUCACCCGGUACUUGAGAGCCAGAUAAUGGUUGGACAGCACCGCUUUGCUCAUCCUCAGAAAUGGCCGGCCUAGGAUCAUCUGAUAAGGACCUUCCUCAUCCACUACCACAAAGUCCAGUAUCAUUGUCGUUUCUGUCGGGGAGCUCCUAAUCGUGAUAGGCAGCUCGACCACGCCCAGAGGAACCAGCUUUCCUCCUCCAAACCCCUUCAAGGAGGUAUUGGUGUAUUCCAACUUCCGGUCUGCUAUUCCCAUCUCCUCCAAGGUUGACUUAAAUAACACAUCAACUGAACUCCCUGUAUCAACCAGUAUCCGGUCACACUUCUUGCUAGCGACAGUAGCCUUGAUGACUAAAGCAUCCUCGUGGGGGUAUAGAAUUCCUUCCUCAUCUUCAUCCGUCCACAUGAUUGGUACUUGCCUGACCCUUGCUCGUUUGGCUGCUGGGGUGUUGAAGAAUACCUCUUUACUAGUCAUGGCGUAUCUAGCAUAGUUCUUCCUAGAUCUGUUGGAAUCUCCAGCCAAUGUCGGGCCCCCAGCAAUCACCCUUACUGUAGGCUACUCGUGCCUCAAAUUUCUGCCACUCUGCUCCCCUUCACAUCUCGAGGCCACCAUCGGGAAAGUUCCAUCUACAAACUCGUCCAGGUACCGAUUUCUCACCAAAUCUUCAACCUGGGUCUUGAGAUCUUUGCAUUCGGCGGUGGUAUGGCCAUGAGUGCCAUGGAACUUACAAUGGCGUCCCCUAUCCCUCAUGCCGGGUAGCUUUGUUAUUGGGGCAGGGAGGUACAGCAAUCCUCGGUCCUUUAUGGCCUCGUACACUUCGUCCAGGGACAUCUUCAAGGAGGUGUAUCGCCCAUACUCCUGGUUCUGGUCAAUCAGGUGCACAUCCCUUUCUCUAUUUGCUCCGUUCUGAGUUGGAGGCGAUGGCAGCAUUUCUGGUCUGCUCCCUCUACUACUGUGGGAGUGUUGAUGAAGACCACCAUAUGUCGAAUCAUGCCUUCUCCAAGGCUCCCUAGCUGGGGAACGAGGAGGGUGCGCCCUGCUGCGCUGAUACUGUGGUGGCCUCUGAUGAGGCUGGUGAGCUGUUAUCCGACCUCCUGUUCCACUACCUGAGGCCUGGAGGUCCCUCCUCCUGAUCGGCCCAUUUCCCGGUAAUGCCCUCUUCUCUUUCUUUUCCAGCCCCUCCAGCUGGUCUGUCUUAAUCCGAGCUGCCUUUUCUUCCUCGAUCUCUAUGUCUCUUUUAGCCUGCUCGUAUGCGGCUGCAUACGUCUGAAUAGCUGGGCUUCUCAAGUUGUACCACAGCCUUCAUAUCUUCACUCCCUCUUUCAAUCCCCUUAGUGCCUGAGGAUGGUCGAAGGCUCCCAAAUCGAGGACAGCACGAUGAAACCUCUUGAUGAAUUCCCGAAGGGUUUCUUGCUCCCCUUGCUUCAUGCUUUUCAGCUCCAUCAUGUCAUCUUCUGGUGCCAUUGCCCCACGAAACUGCUCUGCAAACUCCUGGCACAUCUGCUCGAAGGUUUUAAUGCUCCCCCGAGGAAGUUUCAUGUACCACUCUCGUGCACGUCCCUCAAGGGAUAGUGGGAACACCCUGCACCUUUGGGAUUGAGAUAAUCCUUGUACCCCAGUUAUGUCGUUGAAACGCUCUAUGUGCACCAGCGGAUCCGUUCGUCCCGAAUACCUAAGGUCUGGGAGGCGGAAAUCUCUCGGAAUAACUGCCCUCAUGAUCUCUGCUGCGAGCGGUGAUUCUCCGUCCAGCAUUAUCCUCCAACCAGGAGCUCUGCUCCUUCCUUGCAUGUCGUCAAUUAUCUGCGCUAGUCUGCGCACUUCCUCCUCCAGCUGCACUGCGCGACCAGGGUCACGUGCUGCAGCUUGAUCCCGCUCUUGCUCUACAUCAAGCAAGUGUUGCCUCAACUCUGUUUCCUCUGCAUUUGCCACCCCGUCGUCCUCGUCAAAAAUCUGUCUUGCCGGGGAUUGCUCUUCCUCUCUACGGAAUUCUCCCUGCAGAGGUAUGUUACCUCUCUCACCACCAAAUCUCCCGGUGGUUUGACUUCUCCUCGUACUAUCGGGACCUGGAGCCACUCCCCCAACUCUCAUCCUUUCCUCCUGGGUUACCCUUCGUUCACUCUGCAACUCAUGCAGGAUGGUUGUCAGGGUCUCCAUCUACUUUUCCAUCCGUUCCAUCCGGUCGAACAUGGCUUUUUCCCGUGCUUCACUGGCUAUCUCCCUCAGAGUCACGGAAUCGUUAAGCCUCAUAUCACUCCCUUGUGCACUACUUUCUCCUGUCUCCAUUGCUUUUCACUUGCUUCACUCCUCUUCUUGCUAUCAACAGAAGCUUUUUGCUCAGCUCCCCACAGACGGCGCCAAAAUGUUGAUGCGAGAUUCUGGUUAUGCUCGUUCUACGACCAGGAUAUCUGCUCGAUCAACCUCACCUCGAUCAGGAUCUCUCCUCGUAUGCUUUCUUCUCCAAGUAUCCCUGCGUUCACAGAAACGAGUCAGAGCACGCCGGUUGUUUUCCCGGCGUAAACCCUCCGACGCUCAAGUCAGAUGUGAAGGCUCUGGGAACGCUUGCCACAGAUCUUAUGGCUUGUCUAUAAUCUCAGUUCUUAGAGUUCUCUUUUCUUAGUUCAAAAAUAAAAAAUGCUAACCCUUUUACCUUCGUUGGCUACCUUUUUAUAGGCUUCCUCUGAAUCCGGAUCUUCCGCAGUCCACGCCCGUCGUUCUCCCCACUCUCGGGUGUGGACGCCCCAUUACCGCCAUUGUCGGCGAAUGGAGAUGGACCUCGUGCCUUAAUUCUCGGAUAGGAAUGCACGUCCUGCCAACUAUCGUUGGCUGGGUCUCCUCGCCUCGAUGCCUAGCAGGAAUGACCUUAUGCCUCUAACAGGAGUUCGGCCUCACGAAUGGCAUAUUCGUGGACGAGCAGAAUACUCCUGCUCGUAUUCCCCUGCUACUUGGCUCUUGCAGGAUACCCCUGCUCGCAGGACCCUGCCACCAACCACCUGCUCAUCAUGUUUGAUCGCCUCGAUGUAUUUCCCUCAAACACUACAUCUCCCAAAAAAGGUACUUGGUAAAUGGAGGCUGCCAUAACGUCACCUGCUGAAUUGCGAACUAGGACUCUAAUUCCAGCAUGGUCAGCCUUGGAACUGACUCCUGCAUCAACGUUCACUUUAUACCAUGGCUGGGGCGGACUUUGCCAAGUCUGACUUGGGUUAUUUGUCUUAGACCUCGUAUCGACUUGACCUUGCGUUAUACCUGCUCUAAGUGAAGCCACUACAUUCUCAACUCGAGUGAUAACGUCUUGCGGCUCACGAACAAUAUUACCAUGGGUUAGAUAAUUUCUCGCUAACCAAAUCGACCAGCAAAAAACCACAUAUUCCUCAAAUUCAUCUUUUGUUAAAAGUGAUGCAAUAUGAUGGAAAGGUUAGAAAAUUCCAUUGGCAUUGUACUAUUGAGGCUAGAAUAGAACCUCGUCAACUUCCAAACUUUUUUCACUUGUUUACACCCCCACCAAGGCAUAAUAUGUAUCGUCAUAAUCAAAACCACAACAAGGGCAUGUAAGAGCAAUUGGAAGCUUCCUGUUAUGUAAAUUUAAAUUGGUGGGCAGAAUGUUGGAAAAAGCUCGCCAAUAAAAAAUUUUGAUCUUUGUUGGGAGAGAUAAUUUCCAAAAAUACUUCUACUACCCUAUAUGAUUACUAGAAGCAGAUGACAUAUCUGUAACUUUCAUAUGAAAUGCCACAUAAUAACCACUGUUGACUUUAUACUGACCCCGCUUGUCGUGUGUCCACACCAGCUGGUCUUUCAAUGGUCUUCUAGGCAACGGGAUUGUGAGAACUCGGUUUGCGUCUUCAUCAAGAAAAUGAUUCCUUAUCAUUUGUUCUUUCCAGCAGCCUUCGUCCUUAAUUAAAGUUGAUACUGAAGAUUGUGAAGGCAGACGCUGUAGGGAUAAUGGGUUAAAUGUAGUCGGACAUGGAAGCCACCUGUGAUGAUAAAUAGAUACUUGUUUGUAAUCUCCAAUUCUCCAUCGCGAUCGAACUUCAAUAACUUCGCGUCCCCACAACAUGCUUCUCCAUAUAUAGGAUGGGUUACUGCCCAGGUUACUCUCAAUGAACCCACAUUUUGAAUGAUAUUGUGCUUUAAGAAUUUUAGAGACUAGAGAAUUGGGAAAGGAAAUUAAUCGCCAACAUUGUUUCGCUAUGAAGGCUCAAUUGAAAAAGCUCAGCUCUCGAAAGCCAAGGCUCCCAUUUGUUUUUUAAAGGCAAAGUUUCAACCAUGGCAACCAAUGAAGACUCCUUGAGGAUGAAUUAUGACUCCACCAGAAUCGUGUAAUUAUUUUUUGUAGUUCUUCACAAAAACUAAGAGGGAGCUUGAAGACACUCAUUGCAUAGGUGGGGAUAGCCUAAGCAACAGCUUUAAUUAGUACUUCCUUACCUCCACUGGAGAAGAGUUUGGCUUUCCAAUCAGUAAUCUUGUGCAGAAUCCUAGCCUUCAAAGUAUUAAAAGAACUCUUUUUACUUCAACCCAACAUUGACAAAAGGAAUAGAUACUUUUCAUAAUGAGAGACAACCUCGAGGUUGAGUAUUCCGUUAAUUGCCUCCCUAAUAUUCUCUGGAGUGUUUGGAAAGAAACAUACAGAUGAUUUUUCAUAAUUGAUUACCUGUCCUGAGGCUUUACUGUACGUGUCAAACAACUCUUUAAGAUGAUAACAUGCUGCAACUGAAGCUUUGGAAAAUACCAAGCUAUCAUCUGUAAAAAAUAAGUGGGAAAUAGUAGAGCCUUUAGGAUCGAACUUAAUGCCCUGAAUUAACUUGGUAUUUUCAGCUUUAAUUAAUAAAGAAGAUUAAGAUUAUGCACAAAGGAUAAAAUAAGUAAGGGGAAAGCGGACAUCCCUGUCUUAGUCCUCUCUGAGGUUGGACGAAGCCUCUAACUUCACUAUUAAUCAAGAAAGAGAAUGUAGUGGACGUGAUGCAUUUCAUCAUGAGACAAACCUAUCUUGUUGAGAGCCCGAGCUUGAACAUGAUGCCUUCCAAAAAACACCAUUCUAUUCUGUCAUAUGCUUUACUUAUAUAUAAUUUAAGAGCAACCAAUCCUUCUUUGCCUUGUCUCUCGCAUCUGAUUUUGUGGAGACACUCGUAGCCAAUUAUAACAUUGUCAGUGAUGUGUCGUUGUGGAAUGAAGGCUGAUUGGAAAGGGGAAAUCAAGUGUUCUAAGAAAACUUUUAGCCGAUUUGCAAUGCAUUUAGAUAUGAUUUUAUAAAUGAUAUUACACAAACUUAUUGGCAUGUAUUCAUGGACUCUCUUUGGCUCUUUCACUUUCGAAAUCAAGACCACAUAUGUAUGGUUUAUUAUAGAUAAAUCUUCAUCUCCAUUCAAAAUCUCCAAGCAAGCUGUAGUUACAAAAUGGCACAUUACAUUCCAGUGGCGCUGAAAGAAUGUUGCUGAUAGUCCAUCAAGGCCUGGAGCCUUUGACGGAUGCAUUUGAAAUAGGGCUGAUUUGAUUUCCUCUGGUGAAAACUCCUUAUCUAACUCGGAAUUCAUCUCAGCAGUAACUUUAGGCUCAAGAGAUUGAAGAGCCAAUUCCACGUUCAACUGGGAAGGAGUAGAUGAUGUAAACAAUGUCGUAAAAUAAUUGGAGAACUCAUUUUCUAUGUCUAAUAUGUCUUCCCGCCACUGAUUAUUAAUGUCCAAGAGGCUAUCGAUAGUAUUUUUUCGCUUCUUGCUAGAAGCUUUGGCAUGAAAAUAUCUAGUGUUGCGAUCCCCUUCCUUAAGCCAAACGGCUUUAGAGCGUUGCCUCCAAUAUAUUUUCUCAUCCCUUAGGAAAUCAUCAAGUUGCGUUUCCACUGCUAGAAUUCCAUGAUAAUUCUAGUAGGGAUAAGAUUUUAAGCAAGUAAGCUUUGUGGUCAAAACUUGCAAUAUACACUUUUUAUCCUCGAAUUUCUUUCGACUCUACUCUUGUAGUUUGGCUCACACAACAUUGGCAUUCUGUAGAAACAUAGAGACUAAAUUACAAUGGCCUUCACUGUGGCUAGAAAGCCAUUCACGCUCUACUAUAUGGCGACAUUCAUCAUAAUUGUUCCAAUAGUCUUCGAAAAUAAACAUUCUUCCACAAUGACGUCUUUUUGUAGAAAGAGAGGUGUUGCGCUUCCAAAACUCUACUAGAAUUGGAGAGUGAUCAGAGCCCCAAUGGUCAAUGUUUAUCAUUGAUACUGCUCUGUAAGUGUCCUGCCAAGAAGAUGAACCCACAAAUCUAUCAAGUCGUUGUUGUACCAACAUGUUUUCUCUUAUAUUAUCCUAUGUAGCCCAAAUCUGAGAGAUCACACACCCUAAGAGUUUCUUUGAACUCCAACAUUGUGUCAGUGUACUGAAUUGGACCACCCUAUUUUUCGUUCAUAUGCAAGAUUUGAUUAAAAACCCCGCCACAUAUCCAGGGAGCUGAGGAGAGUUGGGCUAAUCGACGCAACAAGGUCCAUGUAUGUUGCUUUUCUACAUGCUCAGGAUGGCCAUAUAUGCCUGUGAACCGUAAUAAUUCAUCCCCAUUAGUAAUAACAGUAUCUAUAUGGUGCUUGAAAUAUGAGAGGAUCUUCAGAUCAAUAUCUUCAUUCUAUAAAACAGUUAGAUUACCUCCGAACCCAUUUUACUAAGAAAAUGUGAGAGAAGUGAAACUUAUAUUUUAGGACGUCCGAUUGCUUCACUAUCAGCUUAGUCUCGCUUAAAAAUACUACAUGAAGCUCAUAUAUGUGGAGUACUUCCUUGAGUGCUCGGACCGUUCGAGGGUUCCCUAGUCCCCGAACGUUCCAACAUAUGAUAUUCAUUGUUCUCGGCGGGGCUGGAGGGCUAGAGGCCAGCACCUGCCGUUUCCUGCUUAAUUGAAGAGGGCUUAAAUAAUGAGUGUGAGGAAUGGACAAUAAAAGUAUUACUAGGCUCCUGCUCAAUGCCGGUAGAAACGUGAUCUGCGAUUAAUCGCUUAAGCUCGAGUUCCAAAUCCACUGAUUUGUCACUGACCCUUUGCCGUUUAAAUUUGGGAUUUGGACCGAAUGAGGAGGUUACUUUGAACCCAGAAUUUUGGGCCAUACACUUCCACUUUCUUGCUGGGCUUGUCUCUUUAGAUGGCUUGGUACUAGGCUCUUUGGUAAGGUGUGAUCGGCUGGAUUGAGAAGCCUGUGAGGUAUUUUCAUUUUGCUUCUCUCUAGUGUUAGGCUUGUUUGGUGAGGGCUCCAUUGUUGGGUGUGCGGCUAAGAAUUCGUGAGAUGCAUCCCGAUAAUGUUCAGAGAGUGAUGAUGUUGAAAUUAAUGCAGCUGGAUCCGCGGCUUGAUUUUUCUGCCGCGUGUCCAUAUCUCUAGAGCAUCCUGCUAGCAGUACAUAUGUUUUUUUUUUAUCUUCACGACUAGUUAUUGCUGACGUCAUCCCUUCUACAUUAUUCGGUGAGGCGGUCGCCGUUGUGCUCGUGUUCUACACUGUAGCAGAUCGCUUCUCUUUGCUCCGGGCAUCUCUUGGCUUCACUGAUGAAUUACGUAACUUAAGCAAAUGGUUAUACUUGAGAUCUUGAUCAGCUGGUGAUCCACUAGUAGGAGGGAUAUGACAUUCUCGAUAGAGAUGUCCUAUAUAUGUAGCCACACUUGAAGCAAAAAUCAAGCAAGCGUUCAUAGAAUAUUGCAAACUGCAUAACUUCAUUACAUCCUCCCAAUUUAGCUCUAAUUCCUCGUUUCAGCGGUUUCGUUACACUUACAUCCAUCAAUAUUCUAACUUGUGUACAAUUACUAAGGCAUGUCCCAGUCGACCCUGAGUCCACUUCUAAAACUUUCCCAAUCCUUUUACCCAAAAUUUCUCCAGUCUCUACAGUCAUACAAACUAUUGGAAUGUUGUGAAUUUGCACCCAAAAAGGGGCUCUGCUAAAAUUCAACUUUGAGAGCUCUCCCGUCCCUUGAGGUUCUGUUAAGAUUAAGAGAGCUCUGUCAAAAAGCCACGGCCCACCAGUUAAGACUCGUUUCCUUUUUGCUGCUGAUUGAAACUGAAAAAUAAAAGUAUUGUAAGCCUUUUCGUUUUCACCUCGUGAAUGGUACGCCAAAAUUGCUGAAUGGCUGAUUUGAAACCUUCGCAGCAAAUGGACUCGUUGGUUAAAACUUUCCCUACCAAGCAUUGUUCUAGUUUCUGUACUCCCGCAUCGUUUGCACGCCCUCAAUAGUAAUCACCUCACCGUCCUCAUCAGAGAGUUAGUGCUUCACAGAACCGAGUUAAUUCGUUAGAAUCCAUGUGAAUGAAGUGAGUAAUUAGAGAGCACUAAGUUGGAGAGACGAGGUUGAAAAGUGUGGAUGGAGAAAAAGAAGAAUGAAAAGCACUCCUGUUGAGUGAUUGAAACACACCCGUAGUGUGAAGAAGCCCUUCGAAUAAGAGAAUUCUGUAUAAGAAACCGUUUUGAAAUUUGAAGGGACUAAAGUGUAAAAUGACUUUACUUUUUGAGUAAGUAGUAAUAAUUAGUAACAAUGAACAUCUCAAAUUUUUUUUAUCUCAAAUGAAUAAUAAUGUGUUAUUAAUUAAAUAGUUAAUAAUUCUCUACGAGAUCUAACUGAAUUAAAUGUGGUAUCUUACUAAUUAAUUAAUGAGUACUACAUUAUUUGAGAUAAUUUUUUUAAAUUAAAAAAAUUUUGUAAUACUAUUAUUUAAAUCACUCGUUGUAGUGGAAGUAUCACUUAAGCAUUAAAGCAAGUCAAUGUUUAUAUAUAAAAUUUUAUUUUUAAAAUAUUUAAUAUUUUAAGUAAUUAAAAAAAUAGUAAUACUAUAUAUAACAUACCAAUUUAGAAUUUUUGAAUCAACGUGCUUUAUUGAGAUUCUGUCUAGCAAUCAAAUUUGUUAUAACAUAACUUUUAUAAUGUAAUUAAUUUUUGUAUGGAAUGAUUUUCAAGCAAUAUUUUUUAGUUGGUCAUUUGAGUUUGGACGUUGAUGAAAUAGCAAUUAAAGUUAAUUAAAGUUUUAAUAACCCCUUCACAACCUAGAGAAAGAAAAAAAAUUAACUAUUAUAGAUGGUAGACAUAUUGAUUUUAGGGAAUUUUAAUAAUAGUAAUAAUUCGACAAGAAAGGGAAAUCAAGAGGAUGUGAUGUGAAAUGAGAAAAAGGAAAAAAAAAAAGAGAAAAUCAAGAUAGAAACAAAUGCAGACACAUUAUGAAGCUGCAAUUUACGAAGCUGUUCUUUUGCUGGUGUUUGUUGGAAUCAUGUAUAUAUUGGCUAAAAUGAAUUUCACAAAUUAUUUAAUUGAAAGAGAUACUUUUUACAGCUAAACAUGGCAAAGGCGUCAAAGGGUACAUUUGUAAUAAGCAAAAAGUCUCAGCUGAAAUACCACCUUUGACCCUUCAGAUACCGCCAAAAAGACAAAUAGAAUAACUGUUUCUUACUGCUCGCGGAUACGAAACGACGCUGUUUUACCUUGUAACUAGGAGAAGUCUCUGCCUUAGCCAUUUGCCAACCAUGAACGUUGAGAGCCUGGUAGACACUUUUGACAGUAGCUAAAAUGGCUUCAAGAGACUCGGAUUAUGGAGCUUUCAUGGAGAAAUUUGUUCUUCAACCAAGCUCUUCGGCUCAUCAACUUCCUUUAAGUGGCCUCACUUUUGCAAUUAAAGACAUGUAAGUCUUCAGAUAACUUGAACACAUAACAUAAAUGAAUUUAUUUUGAUUCUUUCUCAUUAAAUCACUCUUUUUCAUGAUGGGUACAUAAUAUUUUGUAGAACCAUUCUUGUUCUCAUGUGCAUUUAAUUUCAUACAAUAUUGUAAUCGUUUCACCUUUUGGGUAUGCUAAAAUUGUUUACAAGCUCUUAAAUUCCUUUUAAUUUCUUGUAGGAUUGUGUCUUUGGUAAUGUACUUACCAAUUUCAACUCUUGGAGAAGUGUCUAUGCUAACUAUUGCAUCAAUUGCAGUGUAUUUAUAUUAUCUUAAUGCUCAAUGUGUGUGUUUUUGCAAGCUCAUAUACUCUGUGCAGUUGGCUGUUGAUAUUUUAUCUUGAAUUUUUGGAAGCAGAUUUGAUGUGGAUGGACAUGUUACUGGAUUUGGAAAUCCUGAUUGGGCAAGGACUCAUUCUGCUGCCACAUCAACUGCGCCUGCUGUUUUGGCUGUGUUAAGUGGAGGUGCCACAUCUAUUGGUAAAACUAUCAUGGAUGAAAUGGCAUACAGGUUAGAGUUCAAACCAAUUCAUUGUUUCAGCUGUAUAGGAAUUCAAUUUAACUAUGUUUUCUAGUGAUUUUAGUGAAAUAUUGUUCGCUUGCUCUUCUGAGUUGACUCUGGUGAAGACAUUAUGCUUGAUGAAAAAAAUACUGGAUUAGUUUAUUCUAUAUUCUUGGUUACAUAGAUGAUGUCAAUUCUGCGGCUCUUUUAUGCAUAAUUCAUUUGUUACGUUACAUAAACUCUGGAUGAUCAUAUUAUUUCAGUAUAAAUGGAGAAAAUAAGCAUUAUGGAACACCCACAAAUCCAUGUGCACCAGACCGGGUACCUGGAGGAUCUUCUAGUGGAUCUGCUGUCGCAGUUGGUGCUAAGCUUGUGGACUUUUCCUUGGGUCAGUAUCUCUUUCUUUAACAAUUCCUAUGUGUUGUGAUUUUUGCUUCGGUAGCUAGACUACAAGGAAAAUGUUCUGUCCAUCUCAGGAACUGAUACUGGUGGAAGUGUAAGGGUCCCUGCCUCGUAUUGUGGGAUUUUCGGGUUUCGGCCUUCACACAGUGCUGUUUCUACUGCUGGAGUUAUUCCUAUGGCACAGAGUUUCGACACUGUAGGUAAGGAACUGAUGCUAUUUUAUUGAUGCGCACUUCAGUCACACAUAUUAUUCCCUGGUUAUUUUAUAUAUGAAACUUCAUAAUUUGCAGCAUGUCUUCAGUAUGGUUUCCUUGUUUUACACUGAAUUCUCAUCUAGGAUGGUUUGCUUGGGAUCCUAAAAUUUUGAAUCGGGUUGGACGUGUUCUACUCCAGCUCGCUGAUGAUGUAAAUCUGGUCAGACCAAGUCAGGUGAUCUUUGCCGAAGAUUGCUUGCAACUUUCAAGCAUUCCAAGUGAUCGAGUAACUCAAGGUCUAGUUAAAUCAGUGGAGAAAUUAUUUGGUGGUGGGUAGAUUUUCCAGCUAAUACCAGUCAAGUCCUGUAGAAAAUUUGGAAUUCAUUCACCACGUCAGACACAGAAUGGUAGUAAUAUUUGAUUUGUUGUGUGCAGGUCACAUUAUAGAGAAUGUGAUUCUUGGAGACUAUGUGAAGGACAAAGUUCCCAGUUUGCAGCAUUUCUUAAGCGAAGGAAACAAAGAGCAGGAGUAUAGCAUACCAUCCUUGGCAGCCCUUUCAAGUGCCAUGAGGUUGCUACAAAGGUGCUUGUGUGAACAGAACUUAAACUUCUUAACAUAUUCUGCUAACUCAAAAUCUUGUUUUAUUGUUCAUUGAAUGUUGAAUUUUGUUAUAAUUUGGAGCAUAGGUAUGAAUUCAAGAAUAACCAUGGCGAUUGGGUGACUACAGUCAAACCUGAUUUAGGCCCAGGAAUAUCAGAAAGAGUGUGGGAAGCUGUUAGAACUUCUGCGCAAAAGAUUGAUGUAUGUCAAUCUGUAAAGACUGAACUACGUGCUGCUCUCAGUGCACUUCUUGGGGUACCCUCUCUUUCUCUUCCUGUCUCAAUUUUUCGAAGCAAAAAAUCUGUUCUUCAAAGCUUAUAACUUCCUUUGCAAGAAAUCUCUUAAUAACUUCAUUGGAUGUGCUAUUACUAGCUAAAAGAAAUGUUGUAAUCCUAUUUACAAAAGAAAGGCAUCGCUCAUUUACAAAUUAUAUUCUUCCAGGACCACGGUAUCCUUGUUAUCCCUACAGUUCCUGGUCCUCCACCAAAGCUACAGAUGGAUCCAUCGGCAUUGGAAGUUUUUCGUGCCCGGGCUUUUAGCUUGCUGUCCAUUGCUGGAGUAUCAGGAUUCUGCCAGGUCUCUUUCUUCUUUGGUUUCUAUAAUAAAAUUCUUCUAAUAUUUUUUUUCCCUUGCGAAUCAUGUUCUAAUUUCUACAUAUAUAUACAGGUAAGCAUACCACUAGGACUGCAUGAUAAUCUACCUGUGGCAAUUUCCUUGUUGGCUAAGCAUGGUUCAGAUGGGUUCUUGCUCAACCUUGUCGAGACUCUUCACAACACCCUUAAAGAAGAGCUUCAAAGAAUGAGUUAAGGAGUUACUAAACUGGGAUUUCCAACAAUCUCUCUGUAAGUUCUAUGUCAUUCUCCAACCUAACCAAAAAAAUAAGUAAAUAAAAUAAAAUAUUAGAGAGAAAAACUGAGCAUAAAAGCCUAUUGUGUAUGCACUUCAU